CGCUGUGAGGCGUUGAGCUAACCUGUACUAAUUGCCCGUGAGGCUUAACCAUACAACACCCAAGGGGUUU
This 70-nucleotide ribosomal RNA is filed under the name Photobacterium damselae. RNAcentral's name for it is "partial 23S ribosomal RNA". The record is from RNAcentral. Lineage: Bacteria; Pseudomonadati; Pseudomonadota; Gammaproteobacteria; Vibrionales; Vibrionaceae.